Non-coding RNA from Arachis ipaensis, 618 nucleotides. NCBI's taxonomy places the organism in Eukaryota, Viridiplantae, Streptophyta, Magnoliopsida, Fabales, Fabaceae. The record is from RefSeq and is a predicted model, not a curated record.
UCUUCUUCUUCAUUGCAAUGCAAAAACAAAAGCAAGAAAAGAGAGAGAGGGAGCUGGUCGAGUGGAAGUCGAGGAGGAUGAGCUCUCCAUCUUUUCCUUGUUCUUCGUUGCACCAUCAUCAGAAGGGGGAAGUGAUAGUCAAGAAGUGAUUGACCGAAGCUGAGAAGGAGCCACCCCGUCACCCCUCCUAUUCUUCAAUUUUUCUUUGCUGAAUAGCUGAACCACAAGCCAAGAAAGGGCUGAGUAAAUCUUGGAAGAAAAUUAACUGAGAAAGGAAGAGAGAGCUUGAGCUGAGUAUGACCAAGAGUGAACUCCAACGAAAUCAAGUCAUAUAUCCGCCAUCGAUUGUGCUUCGUCGAGUAAACUUCACGACGAAAAGUAGAGCAUACAAUUACCAAGGGAUAAUCCUUGCCUAUAUGAGUAAAGUGGACUUCUCACAGAACAAAUUUGAAGGGAACAUUCCGGCCGAACUUGGAAACAUGACAAGGAUCAGAGCAAUAAACUUGUCUUAUAAUGACUUAACAGCACAUAUCCCAUCUACACUUUCCAAAUUGAAAGACAUAAAGUUUGGAUCUUUCUUCCAACAAAUUGAGUGGCAAUAUAACAAAUGUUUUUCUA